GCGGAUGUACCCAAGUGGAUCAAGGCAGUGGAUUUG
RNAcentral lists this transfer RNA (36 nucleotides) under Cuminum cyminum. RNAcentral describes it as "partial tRNA-His". Lineage: Eukaryota; Viridiplantae; Streptophyta; Magnoliopsida; Apiales; Apiaceae. The record is from RNAcentral.